Molecule: ribosomal RNA, 427 nt
Filed under: uncultured bacterium
Lineage: Bacteria
Description: bacterial SSU rRNA
Rfam family: Bacterial small subunit ribosomal RNA
Source: RNAcentral
GGNUUACUUGCGCAUGGGCGAAACCCUGAGCAGCACCGCCGCGUGCGGGAAGAAAGGCUCUCGGGUUGUAAACCGCUUUCAGAGGAACGAAACUGACGGUACUUUCAGAAAGAAAGGUGCGGCCAACUACGUGCCAGCAGCCGCGGUGACACGUAGGCACCAAGCGUUGUCCGGAUUUAUUGGGCGUAAAGAGCUCGUAGGCGGUUCAGUAAGUCAGGUGUGAAAUCUUUGGGCUUAACCCAAAGCGUGCAUUUGAUACUGCUGUGACUUGAGUUCGGUAGGGGGAGUGGGGGAAUUCCUAGUGUAGCGGUGAAAUGCGCAGAUAUUAGGAGGAACACCGGUGGCGAAGGCGCCACUCUGGNCCGAAACUGACGCUGAGGAGCGAAAGCGUGGGGUAGCAAACAGGAUUAGAUACCCUGGUANGUCC